This 484-nucleotide ribosomal RNA is filed under the name uncultured bacterium. Its description in RNAcentral is "partial 16S ribosomal RNA". It matches the Rfam family "Bacterial small subunit ribosomal RNA", at positions 28 to 507 of the family's 1533-position model. The record is from RNAcentral.
AUUGAACGCUGGCGGCAUGCUUUACACAUGCCAGUCGAACGGCAGCGCGGGCUUCGGCCUGGCGGCGAGUGGCGAACGGGUGAGUAAUGCAUCGGAACGUGCCCAGUAGUGGGGGAUAGCCCGGCGACAGCCGGAUUAAUACCGCAUACGACCUGAGGGUGAAAGCGGGGGACCGAAAGGCCUCGCGCUAUUGGAGCGGCCGAUGUCGGAUUAGCUAGUUGGUGGGGUAAAGGCUUACCAAGGCGACGAUCCGUAGCUGGUCUGAGAGGACGACCAGCCACACUGGGACUGAGACACGGCCCAGACUCCUACGGGAGGCAGCAGUGGGGAAUUUUGGACAAUGGGGGCAACCCUGAUCCAGCCAUGCCGCGUGCGGGAAGAAGGCCUUCGGGUUGUAAACCGCUUUUGUUCGGGAAGAAAUCCUGUGGGCUAAUACCCCGGGGGGAUGACGGUACCGGAAGAAUAAGCACCGGCUAACUACGUG